RNAcentral lists this long non-coding RNA (273 nucleotides) under Lathyrus oleraceus (garden pea). Its description in RNAcentral is "Pisum sativum (pea) long non-coding RNA (PSAT_LNC006581)". The record is from RNAcentral. Lineage: Eukaryota; Viridiplantae; Streptophyta; Magnoliopsida; Fabales; Fabaceae.
UUAAAUCUCCCUAACCAAGAUGUAGAGGAAUUGGAAGACACAAUCGCCAAGAUGACGCAAGAGAAGGUUAUGUGGGAAGAGUGUUUCCGUGCCUAUUUUCAAGAAGCCAGAGAGAUUGUUAAUUUAAUACGAUAGCAACAACAGUAAUAAUGUAAGCAAUAGAUCAAUAUCGUCGUUGGUUAUACGGUUAGCAUGUCCAGUCCCGUAUUCAUCUGAUAAAGUUAUUCCGUAUCAGUACAAUGCUACGAUGAUGAAAGAUGGUCAAGAGGUCUC